RNAcentral lists this long non-coding RNA (1754 nucleotides) under Triticum aestivum (bread wheat). RNAcentral's name for it is "long non-coding RNA (TAES_LNC018373)". The stretch from base 1421 to 1545 matches the Rfam family "MIR1120/MIR1122 microRNA precursor family". The record is from RNAcentral. Lineage: Eukaryota; Viridiplantae; Streptophyta; Magnoliopsida; Poales; Poaceae.
UAGCUUGCUACUCCUGGCUAAUCCAUGGCGUGGCCUGAACUGAAUUGAUUCAUUCUUGUCAAUUUCUUCGCAGUGUUUGCGUGAUCAACUUGGUCAAAGUGUGGUGGUGUGAUCUGUGAUGUUUGAGUGACGUGUCGUCGCCUUGUAGUUCUUGAUUUCUCAAAGCUUGUACUGAUAUAUACUGUGAUGCACUGGAGGUUAACGCGCGCUUCGCCGCCGCGUCGUUCUUUACUAGUGGGAAUAACUCUUUUUCUAUAACGGGUUAUUAUGCCGUUUCUUUCGACUUGGUUUUACCUGCAUUGGUUUGAGUUUUAAUUAUGUUCUGACGGUGUCAUCUUUUCAUUCCUAUAUCAUGUUUGGCUGUCUUGUUGAAGACAUUAUUUGUUUUCAGAGUUGAGUGGACUUGUUUGAUGAUGGUUGUGGUGUCUUUACACGUUUCGACCUUGGUAUACUAGGUUAUGAUUAUGUGAGCCCCUUGUGAGCUCCUAUUGAGCGUUGAAAUUGCGAAAUUGUUAAUAUAAUGCUCACAUGAGCUGCCCAUAAAACUGUCACUCGCUUAGCUUGGCUCCUUGCUUCGCCCGUUUGCUUAGUAUUUGUUUGCUGGCCAAUGCUAACUCAUAAAACCUUCUAUCGUUUUUCAUUUGAAAAAGUUAGCUAAAUUAAAAGAUGUUCAAGGAUCUUUUUUUAAAGCUUGGGUUUUAAAAAUGUUGUGAAUUGAAAACCAUGGUUUUAAAAAGAAAACGGUGCUUUUAAAAUAUUUAUGUAUUUCAUAGAAUAUUCACAAAUUUAAAUAGCUGAUGGGAAAAGGUUACCUUCAGCCGGCCGAUCGCAUGCGAGCGUCCGCCGCCUCCGCGUCCGUUGGAUUGACUCAUGAUUAGAAGGUCAAGAGAAACCCCUUCCUGCCGACGUUUUCUGCAACUGAGCCUAUGUUUUGAAAAAGGCGGAGAAUCGUGCGGCUGGGAGGGCGAUGGCGACGAGGAUGGCGCGCGGGCAGGAGGCGGGGACGUCUGUGAGCGACAGGGGCGGAGACUCGUGUGGUUAGGAGGGCGACGGCGCUGAGGAUUCUAGUCAGAUCUCGCCGGAUCCGACGAGGAUGACGCGCAGCAGGUGGUGGGGACGUUCGGGAGCGUCAGGGGGCUCGUCUCGGAAACAAAUAGAAAAGAAAAAGGAAGGUUGUUUAUAUUAUACUCAAUUUGACUUGCAUGCUAGAUGCACGCUAUGAAACUAAUUCAUUAUUCAUGCAUGACUACAGUUUUACUAGCGGUGUGUGUAUAAUGUCAAAAUUAUGUACUGAUAAUAGCACAUGCUAUAAACUACUCCCUCCAUUACAAAAUAAGCAUCUCAAGCUUGAGACACUUAUUUUGGGACGGAGGGAGUAUCAAAUAUUAUCUCUGUGUUUUUUGUUUGUGCAUACUCUUAUAUAUUACUCCCUUCGUUCAGAAAUACUUGUCGGAUAGAUAAAUGUAUAUAGACGUAUUUUAGUUAUAGAUAGAUCCAUUUUUAACCAUUUCCUCGACAAGUAUUUCCAAACUGAGGGAGCAUUAUUCAUGUUAUAUUGAGUUCAAAAAAAGAUUAAUUUCUUUGUAGGAAAAAUGAUUUGUCUUUUUUUUAACUUUAGCAACCUCUAUUAAACUAGGAUCAUGUCUGUGAUUUGUCUAGUUUCACUGGUUCUUCCGCAGGUGCCUGUCCGCCGUCCAAAGUAGUUCCCCGUUACACACGGGGCAUAUCAGUUCCCCGUACCCCUAAAAAAAAAA